Molecule: ribosomal RNA, 376 nt
Filed under: uncultured bacterium
Lineage: Bacteria
Description: bacterial SSU rRNA
Rfam family: Bacterial small subunit ribosomal RNA
Source: RNAcentral
UACGUAGGUGGCGAGCGUUGUCCGGAAUUACUGGGCGUAAAGGAUGCGUAGGCGGAUAUUUAAGUCAGAUGUGAAACCCCCAGGCUUAACUUGGGGACUGCAUUUGAAACUGGAUAUCUAGAGUGCAGGAGAGGUAAGUGGAAUUCCUAGUGUAGCGGUGAAAUGCGUAGAGAUUAGGAAGAACACCAGUGGCGAAGGCGGCUUACUGGACUGUAACUGACGCUGAGGCAUGAAAGCGUGGGUAGCAAACAGGAUUAGAUACCCUGGUAGUCCACGCUGUAAACGAUGAAUACUAGGUGUGGGAGGUAUCGACUCCUUCCGUGCCGCCGCUAACGCAAUAAGUAUUCCGCCUGGGGAGUACGAUCGCAAGAUUAAA